This 877-nucleotide long non-coding RNA is filed under the name Equus asinus (donkey). RNAcentral's name for it is "lncRNA (ENSEASG00005024857.1)". The record is from RNAcentral. Lineage: Eukaryota; Metazoa; Chordata; Mammalia; Perissodactyla; Equidae.
GCACUAACCGAGCGCAGCAUCAGCUGCAGCAUCUCACAGUGACUGGUGCCAGGCCCGCAGCCCAGCACUCCACCUGUGGAGGCUCCUCUAGGACAGCAUUGCUGUGAGGUGGCCACAGCCAGACUCACUGAGAGUGAGAAUCUGAGGCUCCAAAGGGACAAGAGACUUGCUGAAGGACACGGAAAGGCGUCAUAACCUAGGGCUGUCUGCUGACGCCUCAAGAAGUCCCCUAAAUGACAGACCAUCCACCAAAGACACAGCUGAUUCCCAGACCCAUCCCUCAGGGCCCUAACAGAGGUCCCCCCCUUCAAGAGGCCGCUCCUGGUACCUCCAGCAGCAAGGGAGCAUGUGCUGUGCUGUGUAUGCCCUUCCUUUGUACCUGUGGACAGGCUGUUCCUGGCAGUCCUUAAAGCUCAAUGGGUAUGUGGGACCCAAUGCUUUUGAAGGCCGUGGAGCUGGCAGUCAGCCUCUUCAUUUGAACCCUGGUGAAUGAACACACCCUCAGCUUGCUCAUCUCCAUCCUCCACCACAAGAAGUCCUCUCACAUGGGUGUGCUGUGCACACUCGGCUCAUGUACUUCUUGCACGGCUCCCACCCAGAGCUGUUUCUGUCCAGCGCCUGAUGGAUCCCCUGCACCAUCUCGCUGGGCUCCCUGGAGGUCAUGAUCAUCCUGCUCCGUGUAAAGUGCAGGGAGUGUGGCUUGUCCUCCCACAUUCUCGACCCUGGCACAGAGAGUAAAGAUCCCAUGUCUGAGUGACACACGCAGAUCAGCAGUUCAGAGCACUAGAACUGGGGACACACACCUGGUCCACAUGUUGGCUCUUCCACUUAGAAACUUGAGAGUUUGGGCCAUUAAUAUAGGCACUUAGGUAUCUCC